GACGAACCGAGCGAACGUUGUUCGGAAUCACUGGGCUUAAAGGGCGCGUAGGCGGGUGCUCAAGUCCGGGGUGAAAUCCUCCAGCUCAACUGGAGAACUGCCUCGGAUACUGGGUGCCUCGAGGGUGGUAGGGGUAUGCGGAACUAUCGGUGGAGCGGUGAAAUGCGUUGAUAUCGAUAGGAACACCUGAGGUGAAGACGGGUUGCUGGGCCGACACUGACGCUGAUGCGCGAAAGCCAGGGGAGCAAACGGG
RNAcentral lists this ribosomal RNA (253 nucleotides) under uncultured bacterium. Its description in RNAcentral is "partial 16S ribosomal RNA". It matches the Rfam family "Bacterial small subunit ribosomal RNA", at positions 524 to 776 of the family's 1533-position model. The record is from RNAcentral.